AGCAGAAGUAUCCUGCAAUACUUCAUUCUAACUACUGUGCCACCAUGGCUGAUCCAUUUCUUUUCUUAGUUAAAUUGUCUGCAAAACUUUUUUUCCCUAUGCAUCAGUUUUCACCAAAAGGAAUCUUGUAUUUAUAAUCUGUAUGGGAUCUCACCAACUUGCAAAGGAAAAGUUACAUUAAGAGGUGGACUGCUUCCUAUUUAAUGGCUUCACACAGGUAAAUGAUACAGUUUGUAUACAUAACAAUGAGAAAGACAGAAGGACAAAAAUUAUUAAACCAAAGAAGGCAAGUAAAAAGCAUUUGGACAAACACACCAAAAGCCACCCAAGACAAACUUUCUGUUUUUGUAGAAAUAGAAUAUACAUUUCUAUACAACAAUCUGUAUCCAAACUUUAUAACACUGGGAUAUCCCCGAAUCUUAAACUUGAACGAGGGAAGCAGUUUUGCUCACAGGCUUAAUGCAAUGGUGGGUUGUGUUGAAGAAAGCUGAGUGAAAUCUACAAUACUAAAAUACAACAUAGCAAUAUAAUACACUCAAAUAUCAUACCAGUUUUUAAUGCUGCCAGCGCAUUGAUUAAAAGAAAUAUAUGAAUCCCCUUCCCUUUUACAAACCACGUCCUUCAUUAAAAAUGCCUUCAUAAUUUUAAGAUCAGUGUACCAACAAAAGUAAUUCAAUGCAGAACCCUUCAUUUUUCAUUAAUCGUAUCCAUUACAAACCACAGCAGCAUAAUAGAACAAAACCAGAGCCAUAUACAUAUACAUAGAUAUGUCUACAGCAACAUAUGCAUGAGUGUGUAUGUAUUUCACUGCAUAAAAAAUCUGCAGCGGAGAGUUUCAGUAGAUCUUUGUAUUUUUUUAGUCAAAAGACAUAGAGCAAAUAUGAUUAUUCUAACUACAGGAGUUCUUCAGGCUUUUGAAAACUAUUUGCACAAGAAUAUAAA
Notechis scutatus (mainland tiger snake) is the source of this 942-nucleotide non-coding RNA. The record is from RefSeq and is a predicted model, not a curated record. Lineage: Eukaryota; Metazoa; Chordata; Lepidosauria; Squamata; Elapidae.